This 643-nucleotide ribosomal RNA is filed under the name Lactobacillus sp. JCM 1552. Its description in RNAcentral is "bacterial SSU rRNA". It matches the Rfam family "Bacterial small subunit ribosomal RNA", at positions 57 to 671 of the family's 1533-position model. Lineage: Bacteria; Bacillati; Bacillota; Bacilli; Lactobacillales; Lactobacillaceae. The record is from RNAcentral.
GCAGUCGAGCGAGCUGAAUUCAAGAUCCCUUCGGGGUGAUUUGUUGGACGCUAGCGGCGGAUGGGUGAGUAACACGUGGGCAAUCUGCCCUAAAGACUGGGAUACCACUUGGAAACAGGUGCUAAUACCGGAUAACAACAUGAAUCGCAUGAUUCAAGUUUGAAAGGCGGCGCAAGCUGUCACUUUAGGAUGAGCCCGCGGCGCAUUAGCUAGUUGGUGGGGUAAAGGCCUACCAAGGCAAUGAUGCGUAGCCGAGUUGAGAGACUGAUCGGCCACAUUGGGACUGAGACACGGCCCAAACUCCUACGGGAGGCAGCAGUAGGGAAUCUUCCACAAUGGACGCAAGUCUGAUGGAGCAACGCCGCGUGAGUGAAGAAGGUCUUCGGAUCGUAAAGCUCUGUUGUUGGUGAAGAAGGAUAGAGGCAGUAACUGGUCUUUAUUUGACGGUAAUCAACCAGAAAGUCACGGCUAACUACGUGCCAGCAGCCGCGGUAAUACGUAGGUGGCAAGCGUUGUCCGGAUUUAUUGGGCGUAAAGCGAGCGCAGGCGGAAUGAUAAGUCUGAUGUGAAAGCCCACGGCUCAACCGUGGAACUGCAUCGGAAACUGUCAUUCUUGAGUGCAGAAGAGGAGAGUGGAACUCCU